This is a non-coding RNA of Hymenopellis radicata, 89 nucleotides long. Lineage: Eukaryota; Fungi; Basidiomycota; Agaricomycetes; Agaricales; Physalacriaceae. The record is from the annotation of a GenBank genome assembly.
GGGGACAUAACUCAGCUGGGAGAGCAACAGACUGAAGACGGAACGUUUGUGUAUUCUGGAGGUCCCCAGUUCAAUCCUGGGUGUCCCCA